RNAcentral lists this ribosomal RNA (1081 nucleotides) under Staphylococcus sp. RP22. RNAcentral's name for it is "bacterial SSU rRNA". It matches the Rfam family "Bacterial small subunit ribosomal RNA", at positions 42 to 1107 of the family's 1533-position model. The record is from RNAcentral. Lineage: Bacteria; Bacillati; Bacillota; Bacilli; Caryophanales; Staphylococcaceae.
AUGGGCAUAUCAUGCAAGUCGAGCGAACAGACGAGGAGCUUGCUCCUCUGACGUUAGCGGCGGACGGGUGAGUAACACGUGGAUAACCUACCUAUAAGACUGGGAUAACUUCGGGAAACCGGAGCUAAUACCGGAUAAUAUAUUGAACCGCAUGGUUCAAUAGUGAAAGACGGUUUUGCUGUCACUUAUAGAUGGAUCCGCGCCGCAUUAGCUAGUUGGUAAGGUAACGGCUUACCAAGGCAACGAUGCGUAGCCGACCUGAGAGGGUGAUCGGCCACACUGGAACUGAGACACGGUCCAGACUCCUACGGGAGGCAGCAGUAGGGAAUCUUCCGCAAUGGGCGAAAGCCUGACGGAGCAACGCCGCGUGAGUGAUGAAGGUCUUCGGAUCGUAAAACUCUGUUAUUAGGGAAGAACAAAUGUGUAAGUAACUAUGCACGUCUUGACGGUACCUAAUCAGAAAGCCACGGCUAACUACGUGCCAGCAGCCGCGGUAAUACGUAGGUGGCAAGCGUUAUCCGGAAUUAUUGGGCGUAAAGCGCGCGUAGGCGGUUUUUUAAGUCUGAUGUGAAAGCCCACGGCUCAACCGUGGAGGGUCAUUGGAAACUGGAAAACUUGAGUGCAGAAGAGGAAAGUGGAAUUCCAUGUGUAGCGGUGAAAUGCGCAGAGAUAUGGAGGAACACCAGUGGCGAAGGCGACUUUCUGGUCUGUAACUGACGCUGAUGUGCGAAAGCGUGGGGAUCAAACAGGAUUAGAUACCCUGGUAGUCCACGCCGUAAACGAUGAGUGCUAAGUGUUAGGGGGUUUCCGCCCCUUAGUGCUGCAGCUAACGCAUUAAGCACUCCGCCUGGGGAGUACGACCGCAAGGUUGAAACUCAAAGGAAUUGACGGGGGACCCGCACAAGCGGUGGGAGCAUGUGGUUUAAUUCGAAGCAACGCGAAGAACCUUACCAAUCUUGACAUCCUCUGACCCCUCUAGAGAUAGAGUUUUCCCCUUCGGGGGACAAAUGACAGGGGGUGCAUGGUUGUCCUCACCUCUGUCGAAAUUUUGGGUUAAAUCCCCCACCGAGGGCACCCUUUA